Molecule: RNA transcript, 2317 nt
Organism: Dunckerocampus dactyliophorus (ringed pipefish)
Lineage: Eukaryota; Metazoa; Chordata; Actinopteri; Syngnathiformes; Syngnathidae
Gene: prkag3a
Gene name: protein kinase, AMP-activated, gamma 3a non-catalytic subunit
Exons: 14
Source: RefSeq, a predicted model, not a curated record
CAGCAGUAGCUGAGAAGAGAUCCUCACAGCAGUCUCAUCUUAGUUUUCUGCUCUGUAUUUGAUCAAGAAAUGUGCAAAUUCAGCGGGUUUUACUUAAGAAAAUGAGAAACAAUUGAACUCAGACAAACAAUACCAUUUUAAUACAGUUAAAUAGACACAUGGACAUGCAGUCACUGCUUGAAUGUCUUAUACACGGGAAUCUCGGUUUUCUCUAUUAGUCUGUUCCAAAAAAAGUCAGACAAAAACCACGAAAACUGAAGCAAACCUAACUUCAAAGAGUGGACGGUUAGAGCUGUAUACUUGUUUAUUUUGCAGCCGUUAAAAGUUACGCAGUGUGCUUGAACACCUCAUCAGAGCAGGGCACACGGCGCUCAUUAGUAGGAAGAAAGGAGACCGAAACAGAGUUCUUCAUUGUUCUGGGAUUCCCGGUCUGGAAUCUGUCUAUAAUGUCCCAACUCGAAAAGAACCACGAUCCAUUCUUCAUAUAGACUGAAUCACCAACUCAUAGAUGCUUUGUUUGGGUACUGGAUUCCACGGAAUGAUACAAGGGCAAACUGAAGGGGUGGGUGCGUGUAAGGUGCUUGUCACUGCUGUCCUUCCAUAGAGAGGAAAAGCCAGUAUUUGUUUUUGUAUUUAUUUACAACAACAGCACCAGCUGUUUAGCAGCAAGUCAAAUGCAUUAAAGAUAUUUUUGUGCUCUGCUGAAUGAAUGAAUGAAUCUGACUGCCAUGACGGACGGUUAUAUAGCCAAGCUUAUCAGGAGGUGAUCAGACUUUUACAACAAAGCAUCGGCGCUUUUCCUGAAGAUGGUAAUAAAAGGCCUCGCCAGCCAUGAGCCUCGCCGCACGUCACCGCGUUCAAGCUACAUUUGGAGCAGAUGUCCGAAGCGGAACCCUCCCCCCCGUGCCCUUGGACCUGACACAUACCACUGCACAAGUCCUAAAAUAGUCCCAACCUCCUCUCGACAGAGUGAGGAACUAAGCGGAGCACCAAGUGUCUGUUUGCGGCUUCGAAAACAACUUUUUCAUGGACACAGCAGAAUCAUGGAGCCUCCCUCGCAGGUUUCAUUCCCAGCCAACGGGGAGAUGCAGAAGCAAGAGGCCGAUGUCACAGUCUACAUGAAUUUCAUGAAGAGCCACUGCUGCUAUGACGCCAUUCCAACCAGUUGUAAACUGGUCAUAUUUGAUACCAAGCUCCAAGUAAGCACUCGCCUUCUUCUUCAGCUGAUGAAUGACUGUCGCCCUGAAUGUGUUUAUCCACAUCCGAAAGGUGCAAAAAGCCUUUUAUGCACUGGUGGCAAACAGCUUGAGGGCUGCACCUUUAUGGGACAGCAAGCUGCAGAAAUUUGUAUGCUGACUAUUACAGAUUUCAUCAAUAUUCUUCAUUGCUAUUACAAGUCCCCCUUGGUGCAGAUGUAUGAGUUGGAGAGCCACAAGAUCGAAACAUGGAGAGAUGUCUAUUUAAAGUGCUCCUGUCCACUUCUGAUUAGCAUUUCUCCAGAUGCCAGCCUCUUCGAUGCCAUCUAUUCCUUACUCAAACACAAGAUCCACAGACUACCUGUCAUCGAUCCAGAGUCGGGGAACGUCCUGCACAUUCUUACCCACAAAAGGAUCCUGAAGUUCCUCCAUAUAUUUGGGAAAAAGGUUCCCAAGCCUGUGUUUGUUCAGAGGCAGAUCCAGGAGCUGGGAAUAGGAACUUUCAAAAACAUUGCCACAGUUCACCAAACAGCGACGCUUUAUGAUGCCCUUUCCAUAUUUGUGGAAAGGAGAGUGUCGGCACUUCCAGUGGUUGAUGAAGGAGGCAAAGUGGUGGCACUCUACUCAAGAUUUGAUGUUAUUAAUCUGGCUGCGCAAAAGACGUACAGCAAUCUGCACGUGACGAUGCUGGAGGCUCUUCAUAGGCGCACGUGUUGCAUGGAGGGUGUGAUCAAGUGCUAUCCAGAUGAAACACUGGAGACCGUCAUAGAUCGUAUAGUCACAGCUGAGGUCCAUCGGCUGGUGCUAGUGGACAGAGGUGACGUGGUGAGGGGCAUCAUCUCACUGUCUGACCUGCUGCAGGCUAUGGUCUUAACCCCAGCAGGUAUUGAAGCCCUUUUGUCCUAGCAGCGAGGGGCAGAGGGGCCCCAAUUAUUGUCAGUGUAGGCUUCAGUCCUGGCUGUGCUCCCAGGCAGAAAUAACCCAAUAAGAGACAAAUACAAGAAGAAUUGUUCGGCUCUGCAGCUGUUUACAUGAAGAUGUCUGUGCUGCUUCUAAGCAGCUGGAAUGGACAGUGAGCCAUCCUUACUGACUCUGCCACACUGUUCUGUUCUCUUGAGGUC